UCAAAAGCUUCACACACUCUUGAUCAAGACAGUGUGAAGCAAAACCCAUUUAUGGUGCGAACAAAAGCUUCAUCAAUGGAGGGCAACUACAAUUCUCAAACCUUCGAAACAAAUUCAAGACUGUUCGAAGCAAAUUCAAUUUAUAUGGUUCACCUAACCUUCGACUACUAUGAGGUGUGGCUUGCAUCAAAAUCUCUUGCUCAACAGUGUGGAAGCAAAAUUUGUAUAUGUUGUCUCUCCCACAUUUUCAAAUUUCUAGUUUCCCAACAAAAAAAAAAAAGAAAUUCAACAAAGCUUCAUCAAUGGAGGACAACUACAAAUUCUCAAAAGCUUCACACUAUUUUGAUCAAGAUAGUGUGAAGCAAAAUCAAUUCAUAGUACCCAACAAAAGCUUCACUUCAACUCCAAAGCUUCACCAACAAAAGCUUCAUCGAUGGAGGACAACUACAAAUUCUCAAAAGCUUCACACUAUCUUGAUCAAGACAAUGUGAAGCAAAUCAAUUCAUAGUACCCAACAAAAGCUUCAACUUCAAAGCUUCGCCUACAAAGCUUCAACACAAAAGCUUCACCAACAAAAGCUUUAUCAAUGGAGGACAACUACAAAUUCUCAAAAGCUUCACACUAUCUUGAUCAAGAUAGUGUGAAGCAAAAUCAAUUCAUAGUACCCAACAAAAGCUUCACCAACAAAAGCUUCAACUCCAAAGCUUCACCAACAAAAGCUUCAUCAAUGGAGGACAACUACAAAUCCUCAAAAGCUUCACACUAUCUUGAUCAAGACAGUGUGAAGCAAAUCAAUUCAUG
RNAcentral lists this long non-coding RNA (801 nucleotides) under Malus domestica (apple). RNAcentral's name for it is "long non-coding RNA (MDOM_LNC018024)". The record is from RNAcentral. Lineage: Eukaryota; Viridiplantae; Streptophyta; Magnoliopsida; Rosales; Rosaceae.